This 324-nucleotide ribosomal RNA is filed under the name uncultured eukaryote. RNAcentral describes it as "partial 18S ribosomal RNA". It matches the Rfam family "Eukaryotic small subunit ribosomal RNA", at positions 1470 to 1796 of the family's 1831-position model. The record is from RNAcentral.
CCCUUAGAUGUUCUGGGCUGCACGCGCGCUACACUGAAGCUAUCAACACGUUUUCCCUCCCUGAGAAGGGCGGGUAACCUUUUGAAUCAGCUUCGUGGUAGGGAUCGGGGCUUGCAAUUGUUCCCCGUGAACCAGGAAUUCCUAGUAGACGCGAGUCAUAAGCUCGCAUCGAUUAAGUCCCUGCCCUUUGUACACACCGUCCGUCGCUACUACCGAUUGAACGUUUUAGUGAGGCAUUUGGACCGACGCAUCUCAGUUUAACCGCUGGUUUGUGUUGGAAAGACUUCCAAACUUGAGCGUUUAGAGGAAGUAAAAGUCGUAACA